GCACUCGUUUUGUCAGCACAUACUAAAAAAACUUGAAUGAUACAGAGAAGAUUAGCAUUGCCCCUGGGCAAAAAAGACAUGCAAAUUUGUGAUCGUUCCUUUUUUUUU
This is a small nuclear RNA of Octodon degus (degu), 108 nucleotides long. Lineage: Eukaryota; Metazoa; Chordata; Mammalia; Rodentia; Octodontidae. The record is from Ensembl.